This 253-nucleotide ribosomal RNA is filed under the name uncultured bacterium. RNAcentral describes it as "partial 16S ribosomal RNA". It matches the Rfam family "Bacterial small subunit ribosomal RNA", at positions 524 to 776 of the family's 1533-position model. The record is from RNAcentral.
UACAGAGGUCCCAAGCGUUGUUCGGAUUCACUGGGCGUAAAGGGUGCGUAGGUGGCGGGGUAAGUCAGGUGUGAAAUCUCGGAGCUCAACUCCGAAACUGCACUUGAUACUGCCUUGCUUGAGUACUGGAGAGGAGAUUGGAAUUUACGGUGUAGCAGUGAAAUGCGUAGAUAUCGUAAGGAAGACCAGUGGCGAAGGCGAAUCUCUGGACAGUUACUGACACUGAGGCACGAAGGCCAGGGGAGCAAACGGG